CCUGAUGCAGCCAUGCCGCGUGUGUGAAGAAGGCCUUCGGGUUGUAAAGCACUUUCAGUCAGGAGGAAAGGGUGUGAGUUAAUACCUCACAUCUGUGACGUUACUGACAGAAGAAGCACCGGCUAACUCCGUGCCAGCAGCCGCGGUAAUACGGAGGGUGCGAGCGUUAAUCGGAAUUACUGGGCGUAAAGCGUACGCAGGCGGUUUGUUAAGCGAGAUGUGAAAGCCCCGGGCUCAACCUGGGAACUGCAUUUCGAACUGGCAAACUAGAGUGUGAUAGAGGGUGGUAGAAUUUCAGGUGUAGCGGUGAAAUGCGUAGAGAUCUGAAGGAAUACCGAUGGCGAAGGCAGCCACCUGGGUCAACACUGACGCUCAUGUACGAAAGCGUGGGGAGCAAACGGGAUUAGAUACCCCGGUAGUCCACGCCGUAAACGAUGUCUACUAGAAGCUCGGAACCUCGGUUCUGUUUUUCAAAGCUAACGCAUUAAGUAGACCGCCUGGGGAGUACGGCCGCAAGGUUAAAACUCAAAUGAAUUGACGGGGGCCCGCACAAGCGGUGGAGCAUGUGGUUUAAUUCGAUGCAACGCGAAGAACCUUACCUACACUUGACAUACAGAGAACUUUCUAGAGAUAGAUUGGUGCCUUCGGGAACUCUGAUACAGGUGCUGCAUGGCUGUCGUCAGCUCGUGUUGUGAGAUGUUGGGUUAAGUCCCGCAACGAGCGCAACCCC
RNAcentral lists this ribosomal RNA (730 nucleotides) under Pseudoalteromonas marina. RNAcentral describes it as "bacterial SSU rRNA". It matches the Rfam family "Bacterial small subunit ribosomal RNA", at positions 382 to 1105 of the family's 1533-position model. The record is from RNAcentral. Lineage: Bacteria; Pseudomonadati; Pseudomonadota; Gammaproteobacteria; Alteromonadales; Pseudoalteromonadaceae.